This is a non-coding RNA of Salvia hispanica, 468 nucleotides long. The record is from RefSeq and is a predicted model, not a curated record. Lineage: Eukaryota; Viridiplantae; Streptophyta; Magnoliopsida; Lamiales; Lamiaceae.
UCGACCUCUGUAGCCGGUCUAUCGAUUUUGAGCGCGAUUGUCGGUGUUGGUGUCUUUGGGCAAUUGAAGAGUUUCUGUCAAAUCCCCAGAUAGGCGAUUAUGUUUGGGCAAUUAAGUGCCGGCAAUUGGUAUUGUUGAUGUAACGGUUGAGAGUUCUUCAGUGCGGAGCAACAUAGAUAAUGUUGAGCGUAAUUUACUUGAUGCGAAUGAGAGUACUAUCGCUAGCUCAAGUUUGGUUAAAAAUGAAGAAUUUUGGGAUAUUGGUGACGCUUCGUUCACCUGUUCACAUUGUGGUGCAUGCUUUUGGUUUGAGGAACGUCUGGGCAAACCAUAUAAGGCCAAAAAUCCUAAAUAUUCGCAUUGUUGUAUGAAUGGGAAUAUUUAGAUUCCUAAUAUGAUAUCUCCUCCUGAAUUAUUACAUCAAUUGAUGUUUUCAAACGAUCUGAAAAGUACCCACUAUUUGAAAAA